AGAGUUUGAUCAUGCCUCCGAACGAACGCUGGCGGGGGGCCUUACACAUGCAAGUCGAACGAGAAUCUUGGAGACAAUCCCCCUCGGGGUGCGUUUUGGAGAGGAAAGUGGCGGACGGGCGAGUAACGCGUGAGUAACUGCCCAUAAGAGGGGGAUAAUCCAUGGAAACGUGGACUAAUACCGCAUAUUGUCAUUUUAUCGCAUGAUUUAAUGAUGAAAGAUUUAUCGCUUAUGGAUGGACUCGCGUCAGAUUAGAUAGUUGGUGGGGUAACGGCUCACCAAGUCGACGAUCUGUAGCCGAACUGAGAGGUUGAUCGGCCGCAUUGGGACUGAGACACGGCCCAGACUCCUACGGGAGGCAGCAGUGGGGAAUAUUGCGCAAUGGGGGCAACCCUGACGCAGCAACGCCGCGUGCAGGAAGAAGGUCUUCGGAUUGUAAACUGUUGUCGCAAGGGAAGAAGACAGUGACGGUACCUUGUGAGAAAGUCACGGCUAACUACGUGCCAGCAGCCGCGGUAAUACGUAGGUGACGAGCGUUGUCCGGAUUUACUGGGUGUAAAGGGCGCGUAGGCGGACUGUCAAGUCAGUCGUGAAAUACCGGGGCUUAACCCCGGGGCUGCGAUUGAAACUGACAGCCUUGAGUAUCGGAGAGGAAAGCGGAAUUCCUAGUGUAGCGGUGAAAUGCGUAGAUAUUAGGAGGAACACCAGUGGCGAAGGCGGCUUUCUGGACGACAACUGACGCUGAGGCGCGAAAGUGUGGGGAGCAAACAGGAUUAGAUACCCUGGUAGUCCACACCGUAAACGGUGGAUACUAGGUGUAGGAGGUAUCGACCCCUUCUGUGCCGC
This 846-nucleotide ribosomal RNA is filed under the name uncultured bacterium. Its description in RNAcentral is "bacterial SSU rRNA". It matches the Rfam family "Bacterial small subunit ribosomal RNA", at positions 8 to 849 of the family's 1533-position model. The record is from RNAcentral.